This 872-nucleotide ribosomal RNA is filed under the name Tenacibaculum sp. ODE7. RNAcentral describes it as "bacterial SSU rRNA". It matches the Rfam family "Bacterial small subunit ribosomal RNA", at positions 62 to 932 of the family's 1533-position model. The record is from RNAcentral. Lineage: Bacteria; Pseudomonadati; Bacteroidota; Flavobacteriia; Flavobacteriales; Flavobacteriaceae.
UCGAGGGGCAGCGAAUCUAGCUUGCUAGAUGUCGGCGACCGGCGAACGGGUGCGUAACGCGUAUAGAAUCUGCCUUGUACAGGAGGAUAGCCUUUAGAAAUGAAGAUUAAUACUCCAUAAUGUUGGGAUGUGGCAUCGCAUUCUAAUUAAAGAUUUAUCGGUACAAGAUGACUAUGCGUCCUAUUAGCUAGAUGGUAAGGUAACGGCUUACCAUGGCAACGAUAGGUAGGGGGUCUGAGAGGAUUAUCCCCCACACUGGUACUGAGACACGGACCAGACUCCUACGGGAGGCAGCAGUGAGGAAUAUUGGUCAAUGGAGGCAACUCUGAACCAGCCAUGCCGCGUGCAGGAAGACUGCCCUAUGGGUUGUAAACUGCUUUUAUACAGGAAGAAACUGCUCUACGUGUAGAGCACUGACGGUACUGUAAGAAUAAGCACCGGCUAACUCCGUGCCAGCAGCCGCGGUAAUACGGAGGGUGCAAGCGUUAUCCGGAAUCAUUGGGUUUAAAGGGUCCGCAGGCGGUCAAUUAAGUCAGAGGUGAAAUCCCAUAGCUUAACUAUGGAACUGCCUUUGAUACUGGUUGACUUGAGUUAUACGGAAGUAGAUAGAAUAAGUAGUGUAGCGGUGAAAUGCAUAGAUAUUACUUAGAAUACCGAUUGCGAAGGCAGUCUACUACGUAUAUACUGACGCUCAUGGACGAAAGCGUGGGGAGCGAACAGGAUUAGAUACCCUGGUAGUCCACGCCGUAAACGAUGGACACUAGUUGUUGGAUUUAGAUUCAGUGACUAAGCGAAAGUGAUAAGUGUCCCACCUGGGGAGUACGAUCGCAAGAUUGAAACUCAAAGGAAUUGACGGGGGCCCGCACAAGCGG